GAGCAAUGGAGAAACUAAUAGGUCCCGUUACACUUUGCGUUAGGAAGGAGUCACCUAACCUUAAAAAUGUUCCCCUAUUUGAACUAAACCAACUUUUUGUAACAGCUGAUUGGUUAGUAGUAGGAUCACCAACAUUUUUAAUUUCAUGUCCACCCAUCUUAAGAUCACCUGUCAUUGUAAAACCUGAGUGGUUAGGAAGCGCAGAUAUUUUAUCUUCAACCCACUUUUUUGAUGUAGCCUCACUAUCAAUUUUAGGCUCAAUAAGAUCAAACAGUCUCCAACCUCCCAUGGAAACAUCUGCCUGCAUAAUUCCACCUUUCAUUUUAAAGUUAUUAUCGACCACCCACUUCUUUGUGACAGCUGACUG
This is a non-coding RNA of Paramuricea clavata, 367 nucleotides long. NCBI's taxonomy places the organism in Eukaryota, Metazoa, Cnidaria, Anthozoa, Malacalcyonacea, Plexauridae. The record is from the annotation of a GenBank genome assembly.